AGAUCCAUCUUACUCUUUUG
This 20-nucleotide small nuclear RNA is filed under the name Arabidopsis thaliana (thale cress). Its description in RNAcentral is "snRNA_15438". The record is from RNAcentral. Lineage: Eukaryota; Viridiplantae; Streptophyta; Magnoliopsida; Brassicales; Brassicaceae.